UUGCAGUCAUAUCACGUUGAAACACCGGUUUUCGUAUGAUCACUGAAGUUAAGCAAUGUCGAACCUGUUCAGUACCUAGUUGGGUGACCGCUUGGAAAUACUAGGUGCUGUAAG
Molecule: non-coding RNA, 114 nt
Organism: Acanthosepion pharaonis
Lineage: Eukaryota; Metazoa; Mollusca; Cephalopoda; Sepiida; Sepiidae
Source: the annotation of a GenBank genome assembly